This 1228-nucleotide long non-coding RNA is filed under the name Mytilus galloprovincialis (Mediterranean mussel). The record is from RNAcentral. Lineage: Eukaryota; Metazoa; Mollusca; Bivalvia; Mytilida; Mytilidae.
GUAUUUUCUAUCUGAUAUCAUUUUCAAGUUAACUAUCCAUGGCGGUCACAGAGUUUAUUAAUUGAGAGAGUCUGUAUAAUAUCAAUAAUGACCGCUUGCCCGUGGAUCGAUUAGUAAAGUGAGAAUUGAAAGUAAAAACCAAAUACACUUUAUUUAUAGUAAUGAAUGUACAUACUACACAGAUAAGCGCUAAAAGUAUCCAUGUGUUAUUAAAAUUAAUAGAAACUAAAGGGGGAAUUUUUAGGGAAAAAAGGAGGAGCCGGGCUAGAAAAUUCAUUAAAUCUUUUACAAAAAAUUAUUGAUUUCAAUUAAAGAAGAUGUGGUAUGUUUGCCAAAGAGACAGCUCUCAACAAGAGACAAAAAUGACACAGAAAUUAACAACUAUAGGUCAUCGUACGGCCCUCAACAAUGAGCAAAGCCCAUACCCCAUAGUCAGCUAUAAAAGGCCCCGAAAUGACAAUGUAAAACAAUUCAAACGAGAAAACUAACGGCCUUAUCUAUAUGUACAAAAUAUGAACGAAAAACAAAUAUGCAAUUUAUAGAAAUGACUGUACAUAAUAUACAUUUAAGCGCUUAAAUUAUCAAUGUGUUAUUAAAAUUAUUAGAAAAUAAAAAGGGGGAAUUUUGGGAAAAAAGGAUUAGCCGGGCUAGAAAACAACUGUCCUGUCCCAAGGUACCUUUGACUUUUGAUACCUUUUCUGAAAUUCUCCAGUCAUUAAAUCUUUUACAAAAUUUCAUUGAUUACAAAAAAAGAAGAUGUGGUAGGAUUGCCAAAGAGACAGUUCUCCACAAGAGACAAAAAAUACACAGAAAUUAACAACUAUAGGUCACCGUACGGUCUUCAACAAUGAGCAAAGCCCAUGCCGCAUAGUCAGCUAUAAAAGGCCCUGAAAUGUGUUAUUAAAAUUAUUAGAAAAUAAAAAAAGGGGAAUUUUGGAAAAAAAUGAUGAGCAGGGCUAGAAAACAACUGUCCUGUCCCAAGGUACCUUUGACUUUUGAUACCUUUUCUGAAAUUCUCCAGUCAUUAAAUCUUUUACAAAAUUUCAUUGAUUACAAAAAAGAAGAUGUGGUAGGAUUGCCAAAGAGACAGUUUCCCACAAGAGACAAAAAUGACACAGAAAUUAACAACUAUAGGUCACCGUACGGCCUUCAACAAUGAGCAAAGCCCAUACCGCAUAGUCAGCUAUAAAAGGCCCUGAAAUUACAGUGUAAAACAAUUCAAACGAGA